Molecule: ribosomal RNA, 253 nt
Filed under: uncultured bacterium
Lineage: Bacteria
Description: partial 16S ribosomal RNA
Rfam family: Bacterial small subunit ribosomal RNA
Source: RNAcentral
GACAGAGGAUGCAAGCGUUAUCCGGAAUGAUUGGGCGUAAAGCGUCUGUAGGUGGCUUUUCAAGUCCGCCGUCAAAUCCCAGGGCUCAACUCUGGACAGGCGGUGGAAACUACCAAGCUGGAGUACGGUAGGGGCAGAGGGAAUUUCCGGUGGAGCGGUGAAAUGCGUAGAGAUCCGGAGGAACACCAAAGGCGAAGGCAGUGUCCUGGGGAGUACCUGACGCUCAGGUGCGAAAGCCAGGGGAGCGAACGGG